RNAcentral lists this ribosomal RNA (774 nucleotides) under uncultured Neocallimastigales. Its description in RNAcentral is "partial large subunit ribosomal RNA". It matches the Rfam family "Eukaryotic large subunit ribosomal RNA", at positions 24 to 649 of the family's 3401-position model. The record is from RNAcentral. Lineage: Eukaryota; Fungi; Neocallimastigomycota; Neocallimastigomycetes; Neocallimastigales.
UAUCUCUGUAGAGUCUGCAUAUCAAUAAGCGGAGGAAAAGAAACUAACUAGGAUUCCCUCAGUAACGGCGAGUGAAGCGGGAAGAGCUCAAAUUUGAAAUCUUCAAGGUUCUACCUUGACGAAUUGUAGUUUAAAGAAGUGUUUUCUGUUGAAGUUUUGGUAAAAGUUCUUUGGAAUAGGACAUCAUAGAGGGUGAGAAUCCCGUAUUUGACCAUUAUUUUCAGCUGUGUGAUACACUUUCAAAGAGUCGGAUUGUUUGGGAAUGCAGUCCAAAAUGGGUGGUAAAUUUCAUCUAAAGCUAAAUACUGGCGAGAGACCGAUAGCGAACAAGUACCGUGAGGGAAAGAUGAAGAGAACUUUGAAAAGAGAGUUAAACAGUACGUGAAAUUGUCAAAAGGGAAGCGUUUGACACCAGUGUUGUUUCGUCGAAAAUCAAUUAAUAAUUCUUGAUUUUAAGUUAGUAUUGACUUUAUCAGCUUUCUGCACUUUUUUCCUGUCUUUUUUAAUGCACUUUUCGUUUAACAAGUCAACAUCAAUUUCUUUUGUUGUAAAAGGGUCAUUGGAAGGUGGCUUUCUUUUCGGAGAAAGUGUUUAUAGCCUUUGACUUCUGCAAUCGGAGAGAUUGAGGUCUGCAGCGUAGAUCCUUCGGGGUUAGAUGCAUUUGUGCUAAGUUAUAGUUUUUCAUAGACAACAUGUUGACUAUGAUUAAUCAUGUAGCUUACUCGCUUAUGCUAUUUUACCUACGCUUAGGAUGUUGAGUAGCGACAUACGCAC